Drosophila guanche is the source of this 97-nucleotide long non-coding RNA. RefSeq lists it as uncharacterized. NCBI's taxonomy places the organism in Eukaryota, Metazoa, Arthropoda, Insecta, Diptera, Drosophilidae. The transcript has 4 exons. The record is from RefSeq and is a predicted model, not a curated record.
GUAUUGCAUAAUUUUAAACGAGAAGGGCGAGUGAGACGCUGCUUACGCGCCACAACUUUUAUACCCGGUACUCAGUAGUACAUCUAUAUGUAGAAGA